CCUACGGUGUGCUGCAGUGAGGAAUAUUGGUCCAUGGGCGCGAGCCUGAACCAGCCAAGUAGCGUGAAGGAUGACUGCCCUACGGGUUGUAAACUUCUUUUAUAAAGGAAUAAAGUUAGGCACGUGUGCCUUUUUGUAUGUACUUUAUGAAUAAGGAUCGGCUAACUCCGUGCCAGCAGCCGCGGUACUACGGAGGAUCCGAGCGUUAUCCGGAUUUAUUGGGUUUAAAGGGAGCGUAGAUGGGUUGUUAAGUCAGUUGUGAAAGGUUGCGGAUCAACCGUAAAAUUGCAAUUGAUACUGGCAGUCUUGAGUACAGUGGAGGUAGGCGGAAUGCGUGGUGUAGCGGUGAAAUGCUUAGAUAUCACGAAGAACUCCGAUUGCGAAGGCAGCUUACUAAACUGCCACUGACAUUGAUGCUCGAAAGUGUGGGUAUCAAACAGGAUUAGAUACCCGGGUAGUC
RNAcentral lists this ribosomal RNA (460 nucleotides) under uncultured bacterium. RNAcentral's name for it is "partial 16S ribosomal RNA". It matches the Rfam family "Bacterial small subunit ribosomal RNA", at positions 338 to 795 of the family's 1533-position model. The record is from RNAcentral.